This 5650-nucleotide long non-coding RNA is filed under the name Sus scrofa (pig). RNAcentral describes it as "lncRNA (ENSSSCG00005014016.1)". The record is from RNAcentral. Lineage: Eukaryota; Metazoa; Chordata; Mammalia; Artiodactyla; Suidae.
UGGUACACAAAUUCAGGAGUCUUUAUUUUGAAACAAUUCUUCCAACGAUAUUUCACAAUGAACAAGAACUUAACCAAAAAUUUAUUUAGCAUAAAUUUAAGAUGAAAAUUGAAAUCAACCUGUUUUUGUCCAAUACCUAAAUCCAUCUUGGUCUUCAUAAAUCUUGGCAUAUUAACACAUCUUCCAAGACAUACCCUGCUGACUAAAAGGGGCUUGCUUUCUUUUUUUUUUUUUUCCUUCAGAUUUCAAAUUCUCUUGCUCACUAUUUCCAGCCCUAAGUGCUAAGGUACUUUCUCUAGCAGCUAUUAGGGCUGAGAUUAAUUUCUCAUAAACUAUUCCUGAAAGCAAGUCCUGUCCUUGACUAAUGGUAAAUACAUGUUAAAUUCUCUGGACCCUGAUCUUGUGAUAACUUUCAGUUAUUACCUAAAUAUUUUCUAAGGCAAAAGUAACUACUUUUGAAGAAAUAAUGAACCAUGUACUUGUGCCAAAAUAGAUUUUGCCAAAUUAAAAUUUACGUUCUCAUUCUCGAAAAUAAGGUACAUUCUAAGUUAAUAUGGAUAAGGAAAGGCACAAUCUCAAUGAGUAGUAAGUCUCAAACUGCACUUUCAGAAACUCUAAGGGUCACGGAAAAUUAAGGUACCAACUGGAUGUGAACUUCACAAACAAUGAACUAAUAGAAUGCCUUCACAGUUCAAUUAAAACGCACAGGCCUUUCCAAAUAUCCUAUUUUGAGAGAGUCAAUUUCAGGGAUAUUUUUCCUUCCUUAAAUGGAAGAAUUUCCUAAUGGAAGCAUAAGCUCAUCAUCAAUCAGCAGGUGAGACUCAAAAUUGAAUGAUGUCUACUUUAUUGACUUAAGGGUCAGGAAGAAUCAAGACUAACCUUCAUAUAUGCCUAAGGAUAUUCUCAUUGUAUCACUGUUUUUAGCAGAAAAACUAAAUAAACAAAUAUUCUUCAAAAAGGGGCAUCCAUAUAUUGGUAUCUUGACUUCAUUAGGAGAUAAUGAGUUAGAGCUGGAUGUGGUAAUAUGGAAAGAUAAUCAAGUUAAAACAAAGAGAACCAAGUUUUAUAAAACCAUACAUUUAAAAUAAGGGAGGACAGUGAGAGGCAUACACACACACACAUACACACACACAUAUAAAGAGGUAUAUAAAAUAAACGUUAACAUUUCUGACAGCCUAUACAAGAACACAAGAAACGGUAUUUCCUUGGAAUGUGGGAAUCAAGUCACAGGAAGGCGACAAGCUUCUUCACUUUACAUCCUUUGUACAAUGCAUAAUUUUUAAACAUCAUAAACAUGUACUAUUUAUGGUAACAUAUUAAAAAACCUUUAAAGUCUUUAAAAAACCUGAUUGUAUCCAUAGCAUUCUAUGAAACACUAACAUCAAGUCACAAUCCUUUGAUGCCUUUUAUUUAAUGGUCGUUUAGUCAAAAUUAGAAGGCUUCCUGGCGUAUUUGCUUCCUCGGUCCCUCCACUUGAGACUGAGGGAAAAUGUUGAGAAUUUAGUUGAAGUUGUAACGCUCACUGUUUGCACUGUAACUUGGAUAACAUCUUCUCAAGAUUUCAGAGAACAAAUUAAAACAUUACUCAAUGGGCAUUUAAAUCACCACUUAUAUCCAGGAUCACUUUUCCUUGUCCCAAAAGCCUGAAUCACGGCACUCUGUUUUCAUUAAAUUCCACAGACCUGUGAGUUGGACAAGCACAGAUUUCAAAAAUAUACUGAUGUAUACGCUGAAUUCUUAUCCACUGGCAUAAAAUAAGCAGAAUACAUAGAAGCAAGCAGGUCUGAAAGGAAAUACAUUUUUGGUGUAAGUCUUCACCAGAAAAUGACAAUAUAAAUUCAAAUCCUCUAAGACCCCAAAACCAGAAGAGUUAAGAGGUGACAUAAGAAACGCCCUUUUCUGGAGUUCCCGUUGUGGCGCAGUGGUUAAGGAAUCCGACUAGGAACCAUGAGGUUGCGGGUUCGGUCCCUGCCCUUGCUCAGUGGGUUAACGAUCUGGCGUUGCCAUGAGCUGUGGUGUAGGUUACAGACGCGGCUCGGAUCCCGCGUUGCUGUGGCUCUGUCGUAGGCCAGUGGCUACAGCUCUGAUUCGACCCCUAGCCUGGGAACCUCCAUAUGCCGUGGGAGCGGCCCAAAGAAAUAGCAAAAAGACAAAAAAAAAAAAAAAAUAAAAAAAAUAAAAAAAUAAAAGAAACGCCCUUUUCUGUCUACAAAGGCUAUGUCAAUUCAGAGGCCUUAAAAUGCAUCUGAAUGCCCGAGGCUUCAAAAAACUGGUAGUGGUAGGCUAGUGGCCACCUUGAAUGUGAAUACUCUUCGAGCUGUACAAAAUCCAAGUUUUCAAAACACUGCAAGGGUCAAACACAACACAACUGCAGAGAGAAUUCAGAGUAUUUGCCAUGAAUGUGCAACCUUUACAUUCGCACAGUAACUCAACUUUUUAAAACCAGAUUUCACGACACUUGCUUGGGUCUUUCCAGAUUAAAAACUCUAGUGCCCAGGUACGCUUCUAGAAAUAAACUAGUGUCCAUAUGCUUGCUAAAUUAACAUAAAACAGAAGGCUCUUCAAAGAUCGGAUAUAAUCACCAAACAAUAAAUUUAAGGAAGUGAGUUGUGGAAUGACACAUCAGGGCUGUGUUGGAGCUGGCACUCCAGCCAGCUCUCUCUCUAAUUGCACGUUUAAUGACAUCAGAUGGGUAGGUGAACUCAGCCAUGGUGAGAGUAUUUAUACCACAAAUGUCAGUAAACACUAAAGAACAGCAGUUCCUCUUGAGAGAAAAACACCCACCAGCACAGCACUGGAUUACAUCAUGGUCAUAUAUUCACCUGUUCAAAUCUACCACAUAAAAAUUUUAGUGAAAGACAUGUUUUAAAACAUACAAACAAAAAUUUAACUAAUGAAGACAAAUUUAAUACACUAGGUCAGUACAAACUUUAGUAACAACAUCCCUAUAAAAGUAAAUUUUACUACUGUCAAGGGCACAAACUUUAUCAAAGUUGCAAUGUUUCACAAAAUAGGAGUCAUUGCGAUACUUCAGAUGUCUCCGGUUUAAAACCUGAUCUGCUUAUCACCCCAUUAAUUUAUUUGUAGAGUUAAACUAUUGAUUUCAUCAAAUUAUACAUAGAACCCAAAUUUAAAAUGAUUAGGUUUUAUUGGGUAUAUAUAGAAUAUAGAAAGUAACUCUUAGAAUUUCCUAAGAUUUAAAAAAAAAAUCUACUCACACAUAAAUGUGACAGCAUUUUAAUCUGACAAUAAAAUAUUUGCUCCCUAGGGCAAAAGCUCUAUUGUUAGCCUAUGCUUUGCUUCUUUCACCCUUAAGUAUGAGUCCACUUUAGGGACUAUAUGAGAGAACAAAAGAAAAGCAUUUAGCAAGUUUCUGAUACACUGAAAGAGCUUGUUAGAUCACACCCCAUAAAGGCCGCCAUUCAUUUUAUUUUGAAGUCAUGACUUUUUAAAAAAAUGUAUCUUCAUAAGGUCCCCUAGAGAUUAGUUUUCUGAUGUAAGUCUGAGACUGCAAGUGGAGGCCAAAAAUGAGGCAAGCCACUCUGAACACGGAGUUCAGGACAGGAGGACAAACACAGGGACAAAGAGGCCCAAGAAGCAGAGCACAGGCGUGCCUGGGGACGGCAAAGUGUUUUGCAGUAUUGCCAACAAUAGCAACACAGCCAGCGCUUGUGGUGAUUACGUAUUGUAAACUACCUUUUAUAAAGUCACUAUGUCUUCAAAAGAAUUUAAAAAUAUUUUGUUAAAUAAGCAACAAGAGCUCUCUCUAAAGAUGGACAAGGUAUAAAAAGCUUGGGGGUGGGGGGGAGCAGCAAACAUCAUCUUCCUUAAGAAGUAAACACAUUCCUUUAGUUGUAGCUGACUACUUGGAGGGAAAAAUAAGAAACUAUUCUUCAUUUUGAAUUUUUCCUCAGCAAGUUUAUUGAUGGCCCCCCCAAACCAAUUAUGCAAUUUUAAAGUGGUCAGAAUAGUAAAUAACUCCAAAAUAAACACCAAUAACUACGAGUCAGGACUUGUAAUAUCCUUUUCAAAAAAAAGGAGAUAUUCACCACUUUUAUCAUUACUGAAAUAUAUUCAAAUAAAAAUAGAAGAAAACUCAGAAAACGAUGUUUUAAAAGUUUGCAAUUUCAACAGAAAUUUUGAUUUUUCCCACCAAGCCAACAAAAACACUUAGAAGUUCAGGGCGUAGUACAUUUACCCUACAACUAAACACUGUUGCUCCAGAAACACACACAUUUAAAGUAUAGUGCAACGGUUCUCAGUGUGGUCUGAGGACCCUUGAGGGUCCCCCAAACCCAAGGUCAAAGCUAUUUUCAUAAUACUACAAUGUUGUAUGUCUGUUCCAUUCGUGGUUUCGCAAGUGCAUGAUGGAAUUUUCCAGUGCCCACAUGCCAUGUCAUAUGAAAAGAAUUGCAAUGUGACAGUAUGAGAAUCCCACUGCUUCUAUUAAGCCAGAUAUUAAAGAGAUGCACAAAGGUAAAACAAUGGUCUUCUGAUUGUUUUUGGAAAACAGUUCUGUCAUCAAAAUGUAUUUAUGUUAACAUGUAACGGGGCUUAUUACUGUUAUCUUUAAAUGACAUGUUUUUUAAAUAUCUCAGUGUUAAUUUCUAAUUUAGCAAAUUCUGACAGACACAAGCCACAUACACAAAAGCUCUCUGGGGAUCUUCAAUAAUUUAGAAGUCCUGAGACCAAAGUGUUUCAGAACUGCUGGUGGUACUGUGAUAUGAAAGCAGCCAAUGAGUCUAUGGCCAUACCACCCUCAACACGCCUAUCUCAUCUGAAAGCAGCCAGUUAGUUACUCUCUUCAUUUUACUAACUUACAAGAACCGAACACCAAAGAUGAGGUAUGCUAGGAGCAGGGGCAACUCUCGAGUAAAGAAAGCACUGAUAGGCUUUUCCAAAUUUACAGAAGGAAUCAUUCUAUGGAAGAAAAUGAUUACCUAAUCUCUACCUUCACAAAAAUGAGAAUAAAAAUAUGACUUUAAAGGUACCAAUAAAAUUUGCCACCCUAAAAGAAAAGAACAUUUUCUUUCCUGAGCAAACGCAGGAGAGAUCUGAUUCAACUAGAAAGUUGGGAAGCUUGUGUCUUCAUCCUUGCCACCUCUGAGUAUUUUCUCCUCAGUACUCAACACGAGUCUGACGGUCAUAUAAAACCAGAAGCAGCUAUGAAUGUGAAAGCCUAACUGAGAGAUAAAUUCAUAUGAAAGCUGGCUCACUUCCUAUACUAGACACCUCCAUUUUACAAACACUCAUUUAAAGUCAACGAGAGUUCCCACUCCAUUACGAACCUCCAUAUUCACCCAGAAAAAAUAGUCUUUGAAAUUAUUUUAAUAACUGUUUAAUGUACUUAUUUCUUAGAUGGAAAGCCUGGUGGAUUAACUGAGUAACGACCUACAAUCGUAUAGCACGACUUUGUACAUGAGUUGAUUGGGACCCAAUACAAUCUAAAGAUAGGAAUUCCAAGACAUUUUGUGUACUCCCUCCAUGAGAAGGGGGCUGGAGGGUGACUCCAAAAAUGUAGAGACAUUUCAAGUAUACACCAACACACACCCAGACCUUUGCAGCAUUCAUUUAAUUCUAAAAGAGGCAUUCCGCUCAGAAAAAGGGCAGAGAUUUCCCAGUCUCCUUGCUUAUCAUAGUUCAGAUACCA